Non-coding RNA from Meleagris gallopavo (turkey), 1843 nucleotides. The record is from RefSeq and is a predicted model, not a curated record. Lineage: Eukaryota; Metazoa; Chordata; Aves; Galliformes; Phasianidae.
UGUUUGUUUGUUUUUGUUUUGUUUUGUUUUUUACCAUGGGGCAGUUUACUCAGCAACUGGCCUAAUGUCCUGAUGUCUGCUGAUGAGUUUCAUCCGUUUCAAAGGGGGAAACAGAUGAGCCCCAGUGGGGCUCAUUGAGAGGGCUUUAAACUGGAUAUGAAGGGGAGAGGGGUUAAAACCAGAUCCACUAGAGAUGGGCCAAGGAGAAUGAUGUUGGGACUGGGGGUGAGGCAAGCGGCUCACUGAAGUGCAUCUACAUCAGCGCACACAGCAUGGGCAACAAACAGGAGGAGCUGAAAGUCAUUGUGCAGCAGGCAAACUAUGACUUAGUUGCCAUUAUAGAAACAUGGUGGGAUUGCUUCCAUGACUGGAGUGCUGCAGUGGAUGGCUAUAAGCUCUCCAGAAAGGAUAGAUAAGGAAGGAAGUGUGGUGGUGUGGCUCUUUAUGUUAGAGAGUGUUUUGAUUUUGUUGAGCUUGAGGUUGAAUCUCUAUGAGUAAGGAUCAGGGGAAGGGCCAACAGAGCUAACAUCCUGGUGGGGGUCUGUUAUAGACCACCUAACCAGAAUGAAGAGGCAGAUGAGGCAUUCUGUGGUCUGGCAGAAGUUGUGCAAUUGCCAGUUCUUGUUCUCAUGGGGGACUUCAACUUUCCUGUUAUAUGCUGGAAAUAUAAUACAGUGUGGACUGGGAGGUUUCCAGAGUGUAUGAAAGAAAUCUUCCUGAAGCAGCUUAUAAGAGAGCCUACCAGGGUAGGUGCCCUGUUGGACCCACUGUUCACAAACAGAGAAGGACUGGUGAGAGAUGUGGACAUCCAGAGCUAUCUUGGACAGAGUGACCAUGAAACGAGAGGUCCUGGAGGAUUGGAGGCUUGCCAGCGUGACUCCCAUCUACAAAGGCUGUAAGUAGGAUCCAGGGAACUACAGGCCUGUCAUCCUGACCUCUAUGCCAGGUGAAAAACUACAGGAUAUCUGCUUCUGUCACAGGAGUAGAGAGAGUGAAGGGAAACAAGGGAGCUGGAAGGGAGUAAAAAGGAGAGAAGCCCUGGAAAACCGGAUAUCCCAGACCAGAUGCCGAAGAAAACCUGAAAUAUAUGAGGGUGACAAGUGUUUUUGUAUUGGGCUAAUACUCCUGGAACAGAUAUUGCUUAACAAUAGAAAUUGAAGGGGUAAUCAAAAGGAUUGCUUAAGAACGUGACUUCAUGUAACAGCUGCUCCAUCAGGAGAGUAAGUAUUUGAGAAGUUUCAGUCUUCAGCAUAGAUGUGAGCUGGGUGGUCCAUAGACACUGCAAAACAUUCAGGGAAAGAAUAAGGGAAAAUCAUAGCCAAAUACUUCAUAAACAGGAGAAAACUAUGAGACUAAAGAUUAUGAAAGAUUGCAUUCCUUUUGCUGAAAUUGAAUACUACUUAGAACUUAAAGAAAUUAAAGUUUGACCCUUACUAUUUUUGUCUUUUCUUCAAAGUCAAAUUUCUCAUGUUGGAGCACCUCAGAGACUGAGGAAUAUGAUGGGUUUGGGGUGUUUUUUUUUUUGUUUUUUGUGAUCUUACGUAACCUGGUAGUUUUGGCUAAUUCCACCUGUAUUGUUGGGCAUCCAAACAUUUUUAGAGACCUACAGUAAUGUUAUAGAAAGCAUAACAAGAUAGUAAAGCCUCAGGCUAUAGCAAGCGUGGAUCUGCUUAGAUGUGACAAUAGUAGGUGCGGAAAUAAUUAAAAAAAAAAAAAAGCCACAACUGAUUGCCUACAGAAAAACCUAUAAGAUCCUCUGGUAGGCAGGGAUCUCCAGAGGCACCACACUCACCUCCCCCUAUCAGUGCUUUAAAUGAAGUCUGGGAAGGGGUAGAUCUUGGCU